UCCCCGUUACCGGGGCAGUCUGAAUAGAAAAAUACAACUAUUCACAAGGGUUGCGCUCGUUGAUGGACUUAACCAAACAUCUCACGACACGAGCUGACGACGGCCAUGCAACACCUGUCACUUGGUUCCAAAAGGCACACUCUGCUUUCACAGUGCUUCCAAGGAUGUCAAACCCUGGUAAGGUUCUUCGGUUAUCAUCGAAUUAAAGAACAUAAUCCACCGCUUGUGCUGAUCCCCGUCAAUUCCUUUAUGUUUUAGUCUUGCGACCGUACUCCACAGGCGGGAUGCUUAACGCGUUAGCUUCGCUACUGAAGGGGUCGAUACCUCCAACAGCUAGCAUCCAUAGUUUACGGCGUGGACUAC
This 363-nucleotide unclassified non-coding RNA is filed under the name uncultured bacterium. RNAcentral describes it as "contains 16S-23S intergenic spacer region". The record is from RNAcentral.